GAUCCCUACUGUAUGAACAGAAAGCAGGGAGGUGGAAGGGAAGCUGAUGUAUUCUGAUUUGCUUGCUUUCCUCAGGACGGGUGCUGGACGGUGUCUUUAACCAUGCAGGGGCUGGACACUUCCACUUGCUGGGCAGUGCCCUGGUCAACCUCUCUUCUUGCGUGCUGCUGGACCGCUUCCGGGCCAUGGAGUCAGAGGACACCCUGGAAUCAGAAGCACACAAACUUAUGCAGCAGAACAAGUUCUUAGCCAGUAUCAUAUUCAACAGUUCCUCCAUUGGCAAGAGCUUCAGAUCAGCGUCUCUCAAAUUGCUACCCCACGUCACAUACACAAUACGCACCAGCAUCUUAUACAGCAUGAGGACAGAUCUGAUAAAAAACCCUUCUUGGAAGUUCCAUCCUCAGAGCCUGCCGGCCGACGGGUUCAAAUAUAACUACAUCUUUGUCCCGCUGCAAGACAUGAUUGAAAGAGCCAUUGUUGCGGUCCAGACUGGGCAGGAAGUCUUGGAGCCCACUACGCAGGCGCAGGCAGCCCCCUACCCGUGCCACACCAGCGACCUGUGAGUAGCCAUGGCCGUAGUCAUCCCAGAGUACUUUUUAAAAAAAUCCAUUGUAUUUU
Molecule: long non-coding RNA, 618 nt
Filed under: Chinchilla lanigera (long-tailed chinchilla)
Lineage: Eukaryota; Metazoa; Chordata; Mammalia; Rodentia; Chinchillidae
Description: lncRNA (ENSCLAG00000024758.1)
Source: RNAcentral